RNAcentral lists this ribosomal RNA (158 nucleotides) under uncultured Thelephoraceae. RNAcentral describes it as "5.8S ribosomal RNA". It matches the Rfam family "5.8S ribosomal RNA". Rfam says of the family: 5.8S ribosomal RNA (5.8S rRNA) is a component of the large subunit of the eukaryotic ribosome. RNAcentral also lists the same sequence under 1 other name. Lineage: Eukaryota; Fungi; Basidiomycota; Agaricomycetes; Thelephorales; Thelephoraceae. The record is from RNAcentral.
CAACUUUCAGCAACGGAUCUCUUGGCUCUCGCAUCGAUGAAGAACGCAGCGAAAUGCGAUAAGUAAUGUGAAUUGCAGAAUUCAGUGAAUCAUCGAAUCUUUGAACGCACCUUGCGCUCCUUGGUAUUCUGAGGAGCAUGCCUGUUUGAGUGUCAUGA